RNAcentral lists this ribosomal RNA (466 nucleotides) under uncultured bacterium. RNAcentral's name for it is "partial 16S ribosomal RNA". It matches the Rfam family "Bacterial small subunit ribosomal RNA", at positions 28 to 507 of the family's 1533-position model. The record is from RNAcentral.
GACGAACGCUGGCGGCGUGCUUAACACAUGCAAGUCGAACGGUAAGGCUCCAGCUUGCUGGGGUACACGAGUGGCGAACGGGUGAGUAACACGUGGGUGACCUGCCCUGCACUUCGGGAUAAGCCUGGGAAACUGGGUCUAAUACCGGAUAGGACCAUGGUGUGGAUACUGUGGUGGAAAGUUUUUUCGGCGUGGGAUGGGCCCGCGGCCUAUCAGCUUGUUGGUGGGGUAAUGGCCUACCAAGGCGGCGACGGGUAGCCGGCCUGAGAGGGUGGACGGCCACAUUGGGACUGAGACACGGCCCAGACUCCUACGGGAGGCAGCAGUGGGGAAUAUUGCACAAUGGGCGGAAGCCUGAUGCAGCGACGCCGCGUGGGGGAUGACGGCCUUCGGGUUGUAAACUCCUUUCACCAUCGACGAAGGGUUUCUGACGGUAGAUGGAGAAGAAGCACCGGCUAACUACGUG